Molecule: long non-coding RNA, 1241 nt
Organism: Gavialis gangeticus (Gharial)
Lineage: Eukaryota; Metazoa; Chordata; Crocodylia; Gavialidae
Exons: 4
Source: RefSeq, a predicted model, not a curated record
GCUACAAAAGCUGCUCCUGCAGCUUGGUGGUGUGCCAGGAACGGUCACUCCAGGCAUCUCCUGCAAGUCCCCUCCGGAGAGCUCCCGCUCCAAGGACUGCCAAUUCCCCCUUCCAAAAGCUCGUUCUGAACCCAUUGCCCUACGGACCUGCAGUACAACCAGCAGGACAGAAGCAGCAGUUUAUCAGGCCAGAGCAGAACAAGAAAACACCUGGAUCUUCUCUUUGAAAAUCUAUCUUCUGCUGAGCACGGAGAAUAUAUUCUUGAGAUGGUUGAUCAGCAUCAAACAAGCCUAAUAAGCUCAGGAUGCAGCAAGUACUUCUUUCCCUUUGGAGAGAGAAAUGUGCUUCUCUGCUAUCAUUAUGAUUACAGCACCACUUCUCUAAUCCUUGCUGAGGAUCAAGGCCCUGGGCUGCUGGACAGAUAUGUAACAAAGAGAGUCUCUGAAUCAGACAAGACAAAUUACUGGGAUAAUUAGGAUGUGGCAGGGGGAAGACAUGGAAGGACAAAUGGCCCCAGAUCUAUUCCCAGUGCAACUAAAUGCUGCAAAACAUUGGAAUACGAAAAGUCCAAUUCCCUAAGAGCCUGGUCCUAAAAGAUGGAGACCUCUCACUGGUUUCAAUCUUUAAUAAAUUAAGAAAGAUUUCACAACCAACCAGAGUCCCGUUUACAAACUAGUCUUGGAAACCUUUGGAUUUAGGAUACAGAAAUUGGAUCGAGUCAGGUAGAAAGGUUUCUCUGAAAGAGGGACUACACUUUCCAGAUGAAUAAGUUCACUUGUACAUAGGUUUUUAUUCUACUCUUUUCCCUUACAAAGGGGAGUGUGUUCAUUUACCUAGGUGUGAAAUGCACCGUUUAUUUUGAUGUCAUUUGAAGCCCACUGCCCAAACUCUCAAUUCUCAGCUUCUCAAAGUCAAUGGAGAAUGGCAGAUGGCACGAUACAAGCCUGGUUUCCACUGAGAGUCAUAUCCCUUAUGCAUAUCCUAUCGUCACGGCCUAUCAGUACGCCAGAGCUCAUGUAAUGAAGGCUUGGGCUCUUAUUUAGUGCCCUACACACACCUUUACACACUAUUAUGCAAUAAAAUAGACCUUGUUUUUCACAUCUUGCUCCCUAUCUCCGCAAGUCAAAAGGUGGCUGGCUAUAGGUUAUAUUCAGUCGUAGAGUAGGCAUUUCUUUAAUGGACAUCAAGCCACUCACUGGAUUGUGUCCCCAUUCUGGUCCUUUACCUCAUUAGCCCUUCA